This 406-nucleotide ribosomal RNA is filed under the name uncultured bacterium. Its description in RNAcentral is "partial 16S ribosomal RNA". It matches the Rfam family "Bacterial small subunit ribosomal RNA", at positions 29 to 526 of the family's 1533-position model. The record is from RNAcentral.
AUUGAACGCUGGCGGCAGGCCUAACACAUGCAAGUCGAACGAGGGGAGGCAGGGAGAGGACUGUCUGGGAAACUGCCUGAUGGAGGGGGAUAAUAGAUGGAAACGGUAGCUAAAAACGCCUAACAUCAGAUGUGGCGAGAUGGGAUGAGCUAGGUGGUGGGGUAACGGCUGACCAAGGCGAAGAUCCCUAGCUGGGAUGAGAGGAUGAACAGCCACACUGGAACUGAGACACGUGCCAGACUCCUACGGGAGGCAGCAGUGGGGAAGCUUGCACAAUGGGCGAAAGCCUGAUUCAGCCAUGCCGCGUGUAUGAAGAAGGCCUUCGGGUUGUAAAGUACUUUCUGCGGGGAAGCGGUACCCGCAGAAUAAGCACCGGCUAACGCCGUGCCAGCAGCCGCGGUAAUUC